RNAcentral lists this transfer RNA (90 nucleotides) under Rikenellaceae bacterium. Its description in RNAcentral is "tRNA-Ser". It matches the Rfam family "tRNA". Rfam says of the family: Transfer RNA (tRNA) molecules are approximately 80 nucleotides in length. Lineage: Bacteria; Pseudomonadati; Bacteroidota; Bacteroidia; Bacteroidales; Rikenellaceae. The record is from RNAcentral.
GGAGAGGUGCCAGAGUGGUUGAAUGGGGCGGUCUCGAACACCGUUAUACUCGCAAGGGUAUCGGGGGUUCGAAUCCCCCUCUCUCCGCCA